GUGGGGAAUCUUGCGCAAUGGGCGAAAGCCUGACGCAGCCAUGCCGCGUGAAUGAUGAAGGUCUUAGGAUUGUAAAAUUCUUUCACCGGGGACGAUAAUGACGGUACCCGGAGAAGAAGCUCCGGCUAACUUCGUGCCAGCAGCCGCGGUAAUACGAAGGGGGCAAGCGUUGUCCGGAAUGAUUGGGCGUAAAGGGCGCGUAGGCGGCCUGGUAAGUCUGGAGUGAAAGUCCUGCUUUUAAGGUGGGAAUUGCUUUGGAUACUGUCGGGCUUGAGUGCAGGAGAGGUAAGCGGAAUUCCCGGUGUAGCGGUGAAAUGCGUAGAGAUCGGGAGGAACACCAGUGGCGAAGGCGGCUUACUGGACUGUAACUGACGCUGAGGCGCGAAAGUGUGGGGAGCAAACAGGAUUAGAAACCCGGGUAGUCC
This 425-nucleotide ribosomal RNA is filed under the name uncultured bacterium. RNAcentral's name for it is "partial 16S ribosomal RNA". It matches the Rfam family "Bacterial small subunit ribosomal RNA", at positions 354 to 796 of the family's 1533-position model. The record is from RNAcentral.